RNAcentral lists this small RNA (147 nucleotides) under Papio anubis (olive baboon). RNAcentral's name for it is "Metazoan signal recognition particle RNA (ENSPANG00000043193.1)". Lineage: Eukaryota; Metazoa; Chordata; Mammalia; Primates; Cercopithecidae. The record is from Rfam by way of RNAcentral.
GCUGGGCGUGGUGACGCGCACCUGUAAUCUCAGCUACUCAGAGGCUGAGGCAGGAGAAUCGCUUGAACCCGGGAGGCAGAGGUUGCAGUGAGCCAAGAUGGCACCACUGCACUCCAGCCUGGGUGAUAGAGUGAGACUCCAUCUCAA